RNAcentral lists this long non-coding RNA (250 nucleotides) under Ananas comosus (pineapple). Its description in RNAcentral is "long non-coding RNA (ACOM_LNC025016)". Lineage: Eukaryota; Viridiplantae; Streptophyta; Magnoliopsida; Poales; Bromeliaceae. The record is from RNAcentral.
AAACAUAUUAAGCCCUAGUUUGAUAUUGAGACUUAUCUGAUGCUAUUAGAUAAAAUAAAGUUUGAAUAAAAAUAUAUAAAGAUAUAUUUCUACAUUCUCCGGUGAGACAGAAAAUACAUGACUCAUCCCGAUGUGCAGAAUGUAAUAUUAUGUACGGAAAUAAAUAAGAUAUUUUUCCGUCGUACUUUCUCACCGCACACAACACAAUCUUUUCGCAAUUUCAAACAAUAAGUUGUUAGUGUGUCUGAAC